GAUGAAGAACGUAGCGAAAUGCGAUAAGUAAUGUGAAUUGCAGAAUUCAGUGAAUCAUCGAAUCUUUGAACGCACAUUGCGCCCACCAGUAUUCUGGCGGGCAUGCCUGUUCGAGCGUCAUUUCAACCAUCAAGCCCCAGGCUUGUGUUGGGGACCUGCGGCUGCCGCAGGCCCUGAAAACCAGUGGCGGGCUCGCUGUCACACCGGGCGUAGUAGAUUUUAUCUCGCUCAGGGCGUGCUGCGGGUUCCGGCCGUUAAAAAGCCUUUUUUACCCAAGGUUGACCUCGGAUCAGGUAGGAAGACCCGCUGAACUUAAGCAUAUCAAUAAGCGGAGGA
RNAcentral lists this unclassified non-coding RNA (336 nucleotides) under soil metagenome. RNAcentral describes it as "partial contains 5.8S ribosomal RNA, internal transcribed spacer 2, and large subunit ribosomal RNA". The stretch from base 1 to 120 matches the Rfam family "5.8S ribosomal RNA", at positions 35 to 154 of the family's 154-position model. The record is from RNAcentral.